This is a long non-coding RNA of Ictalurus punctatus (channel catfish), 1129 nucleotides long. Lineage: Eukaryota; Metazoa; Chordata; Actinopteri; Siluriformes; Ictaluridae. The record is from Ensembl.
UGAGGACUCACGUGACCAGUUACACAGCACUCAGGAUAUUCUGCAAAUGCACGUGCAUGUUACAUAAUUAAAAUGGCUCAGGUAAGCACGUGCUCAAAAGACCAACUUCAGCACGCGUCGCCAUUCUCAUGUACAACAACAGAGAAGUUUCUUCACCGGAAAAGCGACGAGGCGCGCCAUCUAACGGUGGAGGAGAGCCAUGACUGCCUUUAACACUCACCGUCCACUUUAUUAGGAACACCCGCACACAUGCACUUUCAUGCCAUUGUCCAAACACUUGCAUACAGACACAGGUCAAGAGCUUGUGUGAUCUGGACAGUUAAAGUUUGGGGAGAAAAACCAAAACAGGUGAUAUUUCCCCCCCCAGUCUUCAGCUGUAAAGUUUCUGUGAUUCUGUGCCUGAUAUGAGUGACACUCAAAGUGUCACUAAUGUGUUGUGAGUUUUGAAAUGCUUUUCUGCUCACCAUGGAUGUAAAGAGUGAUAAUCUCAGAAUGGGGAAAAGGGCUGGUUUGAGUAUUUCAGAAACUACAGAGCUUCUGGGAUCUUUCACACAUAACAGUCUCUAGAGUUUAUACAGAAUGAUGCGAAAAACAAUAAAACAUGCAGUAGCAACUGGAAAUGCAUUGUUGAGAAAAGUCAGACUGGUUUGAGAUGACAGGAAGGCUAUAGUAACCACGCUUUACAACCAUGAUGAGCAGAAAAGCAUUUCAGAACAUAACGCGCUGAACGUUGAAGUGGAUGGACGACAACAACAGAAGACCACAUCAAGUGACUCAACAGUAAAGGCUCUGAGUUACUGAUCAGAAGAUUGGGGAUUCAAGCCACAGGACUGCCAAGCUGACAAUGUUCGGCCCUUAGGGCCUUAACGCUCUCUGCUCCAGAGGUGUCAUAUCAUGGAAGACCCUGUGCUCUGACCCCUGCUUUCCAACCAGCUGGGAUAUGCAAAGAAAAGAAUUUCACUGUGAUGUAUAUGUGAUAUAUAACAGUUUCUUCUUCAGGUUCAACCCCUGUUAGCUAAGAACAGUAUCAGGAUCACCAAAACUGGACAGUUUGGGAAAAAAUUUGACCAGGCACAAUUUCUGAAAUGCUCAAACCAGCAUGUCUGGCACCAACAAGCAGGCCAUUUUG